RNAcentral lists this ribosomal RNA (363 nucleotides) under uncultured Anaerolineaceae bacterium. RNAcentral describes it as "bacterial SSU rRNA". It matches the Rfam family "Bacterial small subunit ribosomal RNA", at positions 1003 to 1382 of the family's 1533-position model. The record is from RNAcentral. Lineage: Bacteria; Bacillati; Chloroflexota; Anaerolineae; Anaerolineales; Anaerolineaceae.
GAAAGGACCGACCUUCGGGAGCUUAUACAGGUGUUGCAUGGCUGUCGUCAGCUCGUGUCGUGAGAUGUUCGGUUAAGUCCGCUAACGAGCGCAACCCUCGCCGUAUGUUACAAGUGUCAUACGGGACUGCCGGUAAAAAGCCGGAGGAAGGUGAGGAUGAUGUCAAGUCAGCAUGACCUUUAUAUCCAGGGCUACACACACGCUACAAUGGUCUGUACAAUUGGUUGCCAAGCCGCGAGGCGGAGCCAAUCCGUAAAGCAGGCCUCAGUUCAGAUUGCAGUCUGCAACUCGACUGCAUGAAGCCGGAGUUGCUAGUAACCGCAGGUCAGCAAUACUCGCGGUCCGAAUACGUUCCCGGGCCUU